AACGAACGCUGGCGGCGCGCCUAAUACAUGCAAGUCGAGCGAGAAGACGUAGCAAUACGUUUGUAAAGCGGCGAACGGGUGAGGAAUACAUGGGUAACCUACCCUCGAGUGGGGAAUAACUAGCCGAAAGGUUAGCUAAUACCGCGUACGCUCCUUGGACUUCGGUUCAGGGAGGAAAGCGAUACCGUGGGUAUCGCGCUCUUGGAUGGGCUCAUGUCCUAUCAGCUUGUUGGGAGGUAACGGCUCACCAAGGCUUCGACGGGUAGCUGGUCUGAGAGGACGAUCAGCCACACUGGCACUGCGACACGGGCCAGACUCCUACGGGAGGCAGCAGUAAGGAAUAUUGCGCAAUGGGCGAAAGCCUGACGCAGCGACGCCGCGUGGGGGAUGAAGGUCUUCGGAUUGUAAACCCCUUUCGGGAGGGAAGAUGGAACGAGCAAUCGUUCGGACGGUACCUCCAGAAGCAGCCACGGCUAACUUCGUGCCAGCCGCCG
RNAcentral lists this ribosomal RNA (494 nucleotides) under uncultured bacterium. RNAcentral describes it as "bacterial SSU rRNA". It matches the Rfam family "Bacterial small subunit ribosomal RNA", at positions 29 to 517 of the family's 1533-position model. The record is from RNAcentral.